GCUGGGUGAGGAGGCGUAUGCCUGUAGUCCCAGGAACUCAGGAGGCUGAGGCGGGAGGAUCACAAGUUUGAGGCCAGCCUGGGCAACUUAGCCAGACCCUGUCUCAA
This 107-nucleotide small RNA is filed under the name Marmota monax (woodchuck). The record is from RNAcentral. Lineage: Eukaryota; Metazoa; Chordata; Mammalia; Rodentia; Sciuridae.